RNAcentral lists this ribosomal RNA (253 nucleotides) under uncultured bacterium. RNAcentral's name for it is "partial 16S ribosomal RNA". It matches the Rfam family "Bacterial small subunit ribosomal RNA", at positions 524 to 776 of the family's 1533-position model. The record is from RNAcentral.
UACGGGGGGGGCAAGCGUUGUUCGGAAUUACUGGGCGUAAAGGGCUUGUAGGUGGCCAACUAAGUCAGACGUGAAAUCCCUCGGCUUAACCGGGGAACUGCGUCUGAUACUGGAUGGCUUGAGUGUGGGAGAGGGAUGCGGAAUUCCAGGUGUAGCGGUGAAAUGCGUAGAUAUCUGGAGGAACACCGGUGGCGAAGGCGGCGACCUGGUCCUUGACUGACGCUGAGGCGCGAAAGUGUGGGGAGCGAACAGG